UACGAAGGGGGCUAGCGUUGUUCGGAUUUACUGGGCGUAAAGCGCACGUAGGCGGAUUGUUAAGUCGGGGGUGAAAUCCUGGAGCUCAACUCCAGAAUUGCCUUCGAUACUGGCUUUCUAGAGGCUGGAAGAGGUUAGUGGAAUUCCCAGUGUAGAGGUGAAAUUCGUAGAUAUUGGGAAGAACACCAGUGGCGAAGGCGGCUAACUGGUCCAGAUCUGACGCUGAGGUGCGAAAGCCAGGGGAGCAAACGGG
Molecule: ribosomal RNA, 253 nt
Filed under: uncultured bacterium
Lineage: Bacteria
Description: partial 16S ribosomal RNA
Rfam family: Bacterial small subunit ribosomal RNA
Source: RNAcentral